This 833-nucleotide ribosomal RNA is filed under the name Dictyochaeta fuegiana. Its description in RNAcentral is "eukaryotic LSU rRNA". It matches the Rfam family "Eukaryotic large subunit ribosomal RNA", at positions 40 to 906 of the family's 3401-position model. Lineage: Eukaryota; Fungi; Ascomycota; Sordariomycetes; Chaetosphaeriales; Chaetosphaeriaceae. The record is from RNAcentral.
AUAUCAAUAAGCGGAGGAAAAGAAACCAACAGGGAUUGCCCCAGUAACGGCGAGUGAAGCGGCAACAGCUCAAAUUUGAAAUCUGGCCCCAGGCCCGAGUUGUAAUUUGCAGAGGAUGCUUCGGGCGCGACGCCUUCCAAGUCCCCUGGAACGGGGCGCCUUAGAGGGUGAGAGCCCCGUACGGUUGGACGUCAAGCCUGUGUGAAGCUCCUUCGACGAGUCGAGUAGUUUGGGAAUGCUGCUCAAAAUGGGAGGUAGACCCCUUCUAAAGCUAAAUACCGGCCAGAGACCGAUAGCGCACAAGUAGAGUGAUCGAAAGAUGAAAAGCACUUUGAAAAGAGGGUUAAACAGCACGUGAAAUUGUUGAAAGGGAAGCGCUCGUGACCAGACUUGCGCCGGGGCGAUCAUCUGGCGUUCUCGCCGGUGCACUCGCCCCGGCUCAGGCCAGCGUCGGUUCGGGAGGGGGGACAAAGGCGUCGGGGAUGUGGCUCCCUCGGGAGUGUUAUAGCCCGGCGUGCAAUGCCCCCGCCCGGACCGAGGUUCGCGCUCUGCAAGGACGCUGGCGUAAUGGUCACCAGCGGCCCGUCUUGAAACACGGACCAAGGAGUCGAGGUUCUGCGCGAGUGUUUGGGUGUCAAACCCGCACGCGUAAUGAAAGUGAACGUAGGUGGGAGCCUCGGCGCACCACCGACCGAUCCUGAUGUUCUCGGAUGGAUUUGAGUAGGAGCGUAGGGCCUCGGACCCGAAAGAUGGUGAACUAUGCUUGGAUAGGGUGAAGCCAGAGGAAACUCUGGUGGAGGCUCGCAGCGGUUCUGACGUGCAAAUCGAUCGUC